Molecule: long non-coding RNA, 1080 nt
Filed under: Apteryx owenii (little spotted kiwi)
Lineage: Eukaryota; Metazoa; Chordata; Aves; Apterygiformes; Apterygidae
Description: lncRNA (ENSAOWG00000001817.1)
Source: RNAcentral
GGGGGCUGUGAUUUGGAAGUAGCAUUCGUAUUUUCCUUUCUUUAAAGCAAGGCAGCUUCUUUGGGUCAAGCUUUCCGUGGUCUGCUGGGUUCUGCGGUGGGUUGCUCCUGCCGGUACCACGCUUUCCCUCACCGCCCUUUAUUUUGAUGGCACUGUGCCGGCUGCGGUUUCUAAAUUGGUGUCUCCCUUGUCAUCCAAGCGAGCUAGCAAGCAGCGGAUUAAUCAAAUUAGCUCUACAGAUGCAUUCAAAACACCCGAUUUUGAUGUCACAAAGUUGGUGGGAGGAUUUUCAAUAGCAAGGCUUUUUCUGUUUGGCAAAUACUCUUUGGAGAGCUAGAGACGCCAACGUUCAGAGUGAAGCCCCUUACAGACUUGCUUUGCUGUACUUCUGGAAGUUGAACGUGUGAACAAAUGUCCAAAGAAAAUAGUCAUAAGAUUGUAAAAUAGACCAAUGUCCUGUAAAAAUGUGUGUAGUGGUGGCAGUGUGUAGCAGGGAUCCCCUGGCAAAAUUCUGUGUUGAAAAUCCCCUGUUUGCUAUUGCAGGGUUUAUGGCAGAAGUAUAAAUUUAUCUGAAUGUAGAAGACUUUGUUUGUUUUUGGAAGUGCCCUUUCCUGAUAUACCUGGCUUAAUGCAAAUAAUCCAAAAACUCUCUCUGCAGUUGGAAGAACAAAAGAAAUGGACUGGCCUGGUUUUGGAAGAACAUCUCAUUUUUCAAAAUGGCAAUUCUUUUUUUUUUUUUUUUUUUUUUUUUUUUUUUUUUUUUUUGUGGUUUUUUUUGUUUUUUUUUUUUUUUUUUUUUUUUUUUUUUUUAACUCUCUGGGGAGGCUCCUGGCAGUGCUCCCUCGCACGUGGACGCAGACACUGUUGCAAUCCCAGCGCUGCUGUGCGGAGGACUGUCACCAGUGCAUCGCAUGCCAAAACAUAAAGACUAAGAGCGUUUGUGAGUCAGCAGAGCUGCGCAGCCUUUGGAAAGGUCAGUCUGAAGAUGCACUUUCGUAUGGUGGAGCCCGAGGCUCCCGGGACGGCUCCAUUUUCAUCGGGCUUGCCCACCCGUGGGUGCGUGAGCCUGCCCCGGGAUGA